This 615-nucleotide ribosomal RNA is filed under the name uncultured bacterium. RNAcentral's name for it is "bacterial SSU rRNA". It matches the Rfam family "Bacterial small subunit ribosomal RNA", at positions 64 to 725 of the family's 1533-position model. The record is from RNAcentral.
GAACGCCCACUUCGGUGGGAGUGGCAGACGGGUGAGGAACACGUGGGAACCUACCUAGAGGUACGGAAUAACUUCGGGAAACCGGAACUAAUACCGUAUACGCCCUCCGGGGGAAAGAUUUAUCGCCUUUAGAUGGGCCCGCGUCUGAUUAGCUUGUUGGUGAGGUAAUGGCUCACCAAGGCGACGAUCAGUAGCUGGUUUGAGAGGAUGAUCAGCCACACUGGGACUGAGACACGGCCCAGACUCCUACGGGAGGCAGCAGUGGGGAAUAUUGGACAAUGGGCGCAAGCCUGAUCCAGCCAUGCCGCGUGAGUGACGAAGGCCUUAGGGUUGUAAAACUCUUUCAGCAGGGAAGAUAAUGACGGUACCUGCAGAAGAAGCCCCGGCUAACUCCGUGCCAGCAGCCGCGGUAAUACGGAGGGGGCUAGCGUUGUUCGGAAUCACUGGGCGUAAAGCGCGCGUAGGCGGGCUGGUCAGUUGAGGGUGAAAUCCCGGGGCUUAACCUCGGAACUGCCUUCAAUACUGCCAGUCUUGAGUUCGAGAGAGGUGAGUGGAAUUCCUAGUGUAGAGGUGAAAUUCGUAGAUAUUAGGAAGAACACCAGUGGCGAAGGCGGC